RNAcentral lists this non-coding RNA (21 nucleotides) under Caenorhabditis elegans. The record is from RNAcentral. Lineage: Eukaryota; Metazoa; Nematoda; Chromadorea; Rhabditida; Rhabditidae.
CGAUAACAUAAGCUAGAAGAG